This 214-nucleotide long non-coding RNA is filed under the name Vigna radiata. RNAcentral's name for it is "long non-coding RNA (VRAD_LNC007682)". The record is from RNAcentral. Lineage: Eukaryota; Viridiplantae; Streptophyta; Magnoliopsida; Fabales; Fabaceae.
CUUCCUCCACAUGAACCUCCCUCUGUUCAUCAUCCAUGUCCUCCUCCUCCAAAUGAACUUCUUCAACGUCAACUUCUUCCUCCACAUGAACCUCUCUCUGUUCAUCAUCCAUGUCCUCCUCCUCAUUAUGGACGUCAUCAUUCAACCCCUCCCUACCUAAACUUCCUUGACACAGCAAAAGAACUUGGUCUUGUUGUUGUUCACUUGGUUCUAU